Molecule: long non-coding RNA, 373 nt
Organism: Gambusia affinis (western mosquitofish)
Lineage: Eukaryota; Metazoa; Chordata; Actinopteri; Cyprinodontiformes; Poeciliidae
Exons: 3
Source: RefSeq, a predicted model, not a curated record
GGAAAGCUGGAGAAAAAAGAGCUACAGAUCUGAACAUCCAGUGAGCUUGGAGCCGUGAAGUUGUCAUGCACUGAACUAUAUAUGGAACUGGCCAGGUGAUCCCUUUGUAGGGUCAAAGGAUGGCGAGCUUCUGACAACUGGCUGGAGCCAGGAGAACCUUAAACUCACGCUAUACUGGUCUGGUAGGAGCCUGAUGGUCCACAACAUUUCCCCCUCCAUCUCAUUGCAAAGACACACAAUCCAUUAUUCAUCCCUUCUCUGGUGGAAACAAAUUGCGCUUGGAGAUUUUCAUCUCAAACAAUUGGACAAUUAAAACAUGGACUUUUAAAUGUGUCAGUCAGACAAUGUGCUGACUACUGGGGAAAGAUAGGAC